Molecule: long non-coding RNA, 2544 nt
Filed under: Hordeum vulgare
Lineage: Eukaryota; Viridiplantae; Streptophyta; Magnoliopsida; Poales; Poaceae
Description: long non-coding RNA (HVUL_LNC014520)
Source: RNAcentral
UGCCACCACGCCCACCAGCCCACCCUUCCCCUCUUCUACAACCACAGCGAGCUCGCCGACGGCGGCGUGUCCCUAGACAUCUUGGCCUCCGACCACCGCGCAGCAGGGGCCGCCGACCGGUUCCAGACCGUCGCGCGGCUGAAAACGGCUCCCCCAGCGCUCGCCUGCGACACUUCCCCCUUCUAUCUGGAGGCCUCCUGCGACGGCCUCCUCCUCCUCAGCACCGAUCUUGAUUUUUGCCAUCUGCAACCCGGCAACUCGACAGUAUGCUCCCCUCCACCAGCUCGAUGGCUUGUGUCCCCAUGGGAUGUACCCUACCGCCGGCGGCGGCGAGUACCGACUGUUGCUGUGCCGGUUUGAUGAUGGAGAUCCACUUGCCAUGGAGUACUACGUUUUCACAAUAGGCUCUGCCCAGCCGCCCAGGCGCAUACCUUCUCCCAUAGGGUGCCCUGAACCGCCAGAUCGCCCCGGAUUGCUAUUCAAAGGCAGCCUAUACUGGCACACAGGCAGUGAAAUAGUGGUAUUCGACACCACCAAUGAGUCCUUCAGGCACAUCAGAUCCCCGUAUUUUCCGGGUUGUAUUGCUCAACUGUUUGAGACUGGUGGCAUGCUUGGCAUCUUCAUUUAUGAUGAUCAAAAGACAUCUAUGUAUAUCUUUGCGUUGCAGAAUCAACAAAGCGAGCGAUGGAAUUUCAAGUCUUAUGUUACAUUACCGGUUGCGGAGACCAGGCAGCAUUGUCAGUGUCCCGACCAUCGAGAGAGUGUGACGGUUGUGCCUCGGGACGGUGGGUUGCUCAUUCUGCUCAAGUGUGCUGCCUGGCUGUUUCAAGUUGAUGGCGAUGGCGGGGUUAUUGUCCAUGGCAAGUUGAUUGCAAGUUUCCGUUACUCAGACAUCAUCAUGUCUGGCCAUUAUUUGCUCAAGCAAACUCUUGUUCAGCAUACCUUCUUUCCAACACUAGAGGGUUAUGUUGCCAACGCUCUACCUUUCAUCUGACCUGACCGGCGAUUGUGUUGUCGGUACUAAGAGGGCUGUUGGGUGUGGUCCUGUUUCUUACAGCAGUAUGUAUUAACUAGAUCCCUGGUUAUAUAUGUUGUCAACAACUCAGCCUUUCAUCUGAGACCUGUCGACCGUGGCAGUGUUUCCUGUCGGCCUAGCUCUCCGUAUCCACAUGAGCUACAUCAUGUAUUAACUAGAUCCUUGGUAUUAUGUUGCGAACACUUAGCCUUCUAUCUUAGAAGAGGUGUCGGGUGGGGUGGUGUUUUUUAUCGGCCUAGCUCUCCGUAUCCACAUGAGCUGUAAUAUGUAUUAACUAGAUCCACUAUUAAGCUUCUUUGUUGAUGUAUAACAAAACGUAUGCUCAACAAGUUGUGACUGUUAGAUGUAUGUUUUGUGCUAUAUUUCAUUGAACAUCAUUUUGUGUUGGAGUGGCUGCCAUGAGUGUUGAUGCGAAAGAUACAAGUCAUUUGGGUCAGCAUUUCAAAUGUUUGCCAAUUGAUCUGAUCUGACUCAUGUUUAUGUUUUCUUGAACUCAAUAUUGGAUUAUUUCCCCACUUCAUAUCGUGGUUCUCUUGUUACUCGAUGGUUCUGUUUAUUGACUUGAAGAUUUUACUUUAUCGAGGUCUUUUAUGUAGAGAUUGCCUGGUGGUCUUCUUAAUACCGACAUUUUGCAAAUAUACAUGUAUUUCCUGUUUAUAUGUUGUAUUUUAAGCUAACGAUGAAGUGAUGCUAAUUAUCCCCCUUAUUGACUAAGCAAGUUGCAGAUGAUUUUCUUACAAGAGCUAUCUGUUUCUAAGCAACUUAAAUAUUCGCUAUAGUCCGUCUUUGCUGCUGCAUUGUUUCCGACUAUCUCUGUCAAAGUCAGUCUUAGAUCCCAGAUUGUGUUCCCCUUGACACUCUUCAGACUGUCUUAACUGUCAGACAUAUCCUUUUUUUCUCUGUAACCGGUGGAAGGACAUAUCAAGAAAAACUCGUGUUAUAUGUCAUUCCAUCAGGUUGCUCAGCUUCUGACAUCACUUGUAGGAUACUCACAGUUAACUCUCUGUUACUUGCAUUCCCCUUUUGGGGGUGUGUGAUAAAUAUACCUACUGGAGACAAAAUAUAUAAGUGUGUGUGGUUACAGUUUAUCCUAUAGAUUCAGUAUGCAAGUUUAGCAAUCGUCAUACCAGUUCUUGAUAAUUGAUAACACAAAAAACUAGUCAAAUUUUGGUGCAACUUCACGAUAUGAUUUGGGUAUGAACCCGUAGAGAUACAAUGUGUGUUCAUGGUAUUAUUUUGCUUAUUGGGACCUAAUGUAUGCUAUAAAUUGGCAGUAUGAAUGCCUGGAAUUCAGAUAAUCAAAUCUUGGUGUCAUGCCUCACUCUUGGGUAAGACCAGAUAUCUGUUAUCUCGUAUCUCAGUUUUAGUAUGUUGGGUACUUUUAACUCAGAUCUGAAUCUUAGUUAAUUCAGAUAAUAUAUUCUUGGUGUCAUGCCUCAUCAAUUCUGAAUGAUACUAAUAGAUUAUCCAAAUUGACCGGGAAAGCUGCAGAUUUGGCUGGUUCAUCC